GCCUUCGUGGUGUAACGGUUAGCACACUCGGCGCGUAUUCGAGAGGUCCAGGUUCGAGUCCUGGCGAGGGCA
This 72-nucleotide transfer RNA is filed under the name Stegodyphus dumicola. RNAcentral describes it as "tRNA-Thr". It matches the Rfam family "tRNA". Rfam says of the family: Transfer RNA (tRNA) molecules are approximately 80 nucleotides in length. Lineage: Eukaryota; Metazoa; Arthropoda; Arachnida; Araneae; Eresidae. The record is from RNAcentral.